Molecule: long non-coding RNA, 2299 nt
Filed under: Anas platyrhynchos platyrhynchos (common mallard)
Lineage: Eukaryota; Metazoa; Chordata; Aves; Anseriformes; Anatidae
Description: lncRNA (ENSAPLG00000018266.1)
Source: RNAcentral
AAUGAAUCGGAUGCUCCUAAAAUGAGCAUGGUAGUGCCAAGUAUUAAAAGAAGAGUUUAAAAGAGGGAGGAAUUUUACAAAAACGAUAAAUGGGGACUUCUGCCUCCUUCACCUUAGCCAGCUAUGGUGGAGUCACAAAGCCAGGAAUGGAGAAGGAAGCAUGGGAGCAGAGAAAUGUGACACAAAGCAGUGUGGUGAAAGGGCAAGUCAGGAGAAGCACUUUGGUCUGAACAGGCAUCCUUCCUUUUCCAGCCCCAGGGGUGCCCUGAGCAUUGGUGCCCUGAGCAUUGCUAUGCUCCCUUGGGCACUGCACCAAUGGGACCUCGGAUCUGGCCCUCACUCUCAGUGUCAUUUCAUCUCCUCUGUGAGCUGCUUGGGCAGGCUUUUCAAGACUCUGACUUCGUUGCUGACACAGAGUAAGACUCUCAUUGCAACUUCAGAAGUUCCUUGCAGGUCUGCAGUUUUUGAACCCAGAACAAGACAGAGAAGCCAGCAGGAGCUGGAAGAGGUGACACGAUGCCUACACUACACAACAGUACUCUUCCCUGCCCUCCAUCCCCCAGCAAAAGGGCUACCUAUAGAAGCUGCAUGGUACUGACCUGGUCGUUAUCGGGUAUAACCAUACACACAUAAGUGCAAUGGGGACAACAAAGGCAAUAAGGGCAAAAAACAGAUUGAAGCGAUGGCCUGGAAAUUUGCUUACAGAAAGAAAAGGCACAGAGCUCUCUUGUAGGUUGUAUUCUGGGGAAAAUCCAUGCUUUGGCCAGGAAAGUCCAAGCCUAGAUGUCCACUUACAGGCAGUGUAGGGGGGUGGGGUUUAAAUAACUCUGUAAGUAUUGCACUAGGGAAAAAGAUUUGAGCAUGUGGUUAGUGGGUCUGGUGUGCAUUUUUAAUCCGUUUUCCUAAAAAGGGGGAAGAUACCUCUGGUGCUGUCCAGCUGAAGAUCAGCCGCACCUGGCAUCUUCAUGGCCACAAGUGUGGAAGCCUGGAUGUGGGACUGUGGGGGCAGCAGAACGCAAAGGGGGCUGAGGGCUCUGCUGUGGUGCUGUCUCAUCGGGCAUCUCACUUGUGCUUUGCAGGAGCAAUGCAGGGAAGGGCUGAAGAUGCUGAGAGAUGAUACGAGUGUGCGUUAUGGUCCUGAAAUGCUGUUUGGGUGCAUGAAACAGGGAGAAAUACCUGAAGGGAGUAUCCAGCUGCACGUUCUUUUCCCUUCUUUUUCCAGCUUUCAGCUGAACUGCAAAGCCAAGGGGGUCUGCUAAGAGCCUGGGCCCGUCCAUUUGUCUCUCCCCCUACUUCUCUGUCCCUAACCCCCCUCUCUCUCCCCUCCCGCAGCUCGGGAGGGUGGAGGUGCGAUUCGCUAUGCCAGUUUUUUAUUUCCAGCAUGCUUGACAGGCUGGGCGAGGAAGGCGUUAAUGUUUUCUGACAGGCCCCCUCUAAUUGUUGGAGCUUUUCUUCUCUGCCUUUUCUGUGAAAUUCUGACUUAGGCGAGCAGCAUAACAAAAUGCUCUGGCAUUGAAAUGUGCGCUUGCACUACACUGGGCUCGGGGAAACAGCAUUAUUCAUGAAGAUUUUCAGCUGUUUUUGUCUUUUAACUAACCUUUGAGUUUGAUCAGAGGCUAGCCGGGCUCCCUUUCUCAAAAGGCGGUCUUGGCAACCCGACAAUGGAGCCAAACUGUUUUCCCUGUUAAAGAGAUAACUAUGCCGUUGAGUUGGUACAUGGGGGAAAUUAAUCUUCAGGCGCAUACAAAUGAUAGGUUUACCUCGGUCUGCAAUCGCCUGCAUGGGAUUAUUAAUAGGACGCGGGUAAGGAGCAGGAAAAAUUCAGUCUGGGGCAGGGAACUUGGGGGAAGAAGAAGAAGAAAAAAAAAAUCCCAAACCCAAACCCAUCAUCCCUUUUGAUUGCAUAAAGCCUGCGAUUGAUUCCUCACCACUUGCCUUUUGCAGCAGGAAUUAGCUGUGCAUUGUGCGGGCUGACACGCUAAAAGCGAGCCCGCUUGGGAGCAAGAAGUUGCUGCGCGCUGGGACGGAGCGGGGUGGCGGCCGGGGGCGGGGGGCUCUCCCCGCUCCCCUUUGCAAAGGGCGGAGGUGUUGGGGGGGGUGGAGGGGUGGAGGAGGCAGAGAAUGCCCCCUGCCCUUCAAGGCGAGCUAAUCCCUGAAUGCACUGAGUAACAGGCGCUGCAUUAUGGAGCCCCCCAGUCCCCUCGGCGCUGCAGCGCCCGCCUGCCCUUGGGCAGGUGCCCGCUUACCGGGGGGAAAAACAACAAAAAAGGGAAAAUAAAGUUUUAUAAAAGGCUCCCCA